GUGAACAUGAAACUUGUUAAAAGCGAUCCAUGUUCAGGAAAUAACUUGAAUUCUUUAGACUCAGUUUCGAUUUUUUUUUUUUUUUGUACCAGGGAAUCGAACUCGGGACCUUGCAUGUAUUAGGCAAAUACUCUAUUCCUGAGCUGCAACCCCUGCCCAGUUCUGAUUUUUUAAACUGGGACCCUCAGAGCUGGUGAAAGAUGAAGAGAGCAGACCUGACAGAUAGCCUAACUGCUUGGAAGAGCUCUCCUGCAUGCUGGACCUGGCAGACAGAAACUCACAGAACCAUUACAAAGGACUCCUUUUUCCUUCUUCAUGAUUCCACGUCCCCUGAGACAGAGAAUGCUGUUUCCAGCCCUACCCGC
Molecule: long non-coding RNA, 365 nt
Filed under: Fukomys damarensis (Damara mole-rat)
Lineage: Eukaryota; Metazoa; Chordata; Mammalia; Rodentia; Bathyergidae
Description: lncRNA (ENSFDAG00000030973.1)
Source: RNAcentral